Peromyscus leucopus (white-footed mouse) is the source of this 1080-nucleotide long non-coding RNA. RefSeq lists it as uncharacterized. The record is from RefSeq and is a predicted model, not a curated record. The transcript has 2 exons. NCBI's taxonomy places the organism in Eukaryota, Metazoa, Chordata, Mammalia, Rodentia, Cricetidae.
UGUUGUCAGGUCACUCGUCAGGACCUGACAUUCCAUCAAAAUGGCUCACCUUCCACCUUCCCCUGCUGGACCCCAGCCCCAGCAGCUGGGCCACAGAGGGGUCCAGCAGGUACCCGUGAAUGCUAAGUGACGUAACCAAAGUAAAUCCUCUUUUGCGCCGUUCCUGUGGCAAGCCUUUGCCAACCACGUCACCAGCACGAGCUCACAUCGCUCCACAAUAACCCCAGGAGGAAUGGACAGCCAUGCUCCUCACCUCCUGACGAGAGCUCUGCAAAGUCACCUACGCUGUACCUAUGUGACCCGCGGCUGUGAGGCAGGACUCGGGUCUAACACACUGGGCCCCACAUCCCUGCCUGGCGCCUGGAUGUGACUCUACCUCGCCAGCUGGGCUCAGCUUCUCAGGUCAGAGACGUGUGACCCAGAAGGCCUCAGAGUCAUCCAACUCCAGUCUCAAGAGUGAACAGCUGGCUGGGUUCCGUCCCAGGACCAGCGAAGCAAGUGAGCCCCCGACUCGCGGACGGCAGGCUCCCCCCCAUGCUUCUCUGCAGUAGUACCAAGGCGCUCUGCCCUUGGCUUCCAAGAGUCAAGGCCUAUGGUUCCUUCAAGCUCCUCCUCACGGCCUCCUCUGCACCCCACUCCAUCGGACCCGUCCCCUCACUGUAAAUUAUCCAACCUGCCGCACACUAAAACUCUAGAAUGCCAGCACAGAGUUGCACGCUCAUGACGUCACCACUUCUCUGUUUCUUAAAAUGACAGCUUGUUUCCUGAGGAGCUGGGAGCUCCAUGAGGAAAGAGACUGCCUCGGCUUCCGCGCUUUACCGCUCCUCAGAGGCCCUGGAAUGUGCAGGACACCCAGCAGACUCUUAGCCAAUAUUCGCUAAAUGAGUAAAAUUGACAAUGGCUUUCCGUCCCACAAGACAAAUUUCAGGUGUUCCUGAGGCCACCAAGAAGAGAUGACAUCAGAGGGAGGCUGCUCGCAGGAUAGCCAUGUGCAACCAAUCAAGGCCAAGAGCAGAGCAAGACGGCCUCACAGACAAGCUCGGCAGGGUCUCGGGACCUAACUGGAGGGGAGGGAAUCAG